RNAcentral lists this transfer RNA (71 nucleotides) under Camelus bactrianus (Bactrian camel). It matches the Rfam family "tRNA". Rfam says of the family: Transfer RNA (tRNA) molecules are approximately 80 nucleotides in length. Their secondary structure includes four short double-helical elements and three loops (D, anti-codon, and T loops). The record is from Rfam by way of RNAcentral. Lineage: Eukaryota; Metazoa; Chordata; Mammalia; Artiodactyla; Camelidae. RNAcentral also lists the same sequence under 2 other names.
AAGAAGAUGGCUCAGUGGUAGAGCACCUGCUUAGCAUGCACGAGGUCCUGGGUUCAACCCCACCUCUAUUA